UACGUAGGGCGCAAGCGUUAUCCGGAAUUAUUGGGCGUAAAGAGCUCGUAGGCGGUUUGUCGCGUCGGCCGUGAAAACCUGUGGCUUAACCAUGGGCUUGCGGUCGAUACGGGCAUCACUGGAGUUCGGCAGGGGAGACUGGAAUUCCUGGUGUAGCGGUGAAAUGCGCAGAUAUCAGGAGGAACACCAAUGGCGAAGGCAGCACUCUGGGACGUGACUGACGCUGAGACGCGAAAGCGUGGGGAGCAAACAGG
RNAcentral lists this ribosomal RNA (254 nucleotides) under uncultured bacterium. RNAcentral's name for it is "partial 16S ribosomal RNA". It matches the Rfam family "Bacterial small subunit ribosomal RNA", at positions 524 to 776 of the family's 1533-position model. The record is from RNAcentral.